AUACUUACCUGGCAGGGACGUUUUUAGCCAUUAUCACCAAGGUGGCUCUCUCAGGGCGUGGCAGGUUCGUUGCACUCAGAGCCUACUGACCUCUGCAAUUUCCACACAUGUGGGGAAACUCCACUGCACAGUUAUGUUAGUGGGGGACUGCGAGCGCACUUUCUCUUG
This is a small nuclear RNA of Bombina bombina (fire-bellied toad), 168 nucleotides long. RefSeq annotates it as U1 spliceosomal RNA. The transcript has a single exon. The record is from RefSeq and is a predicted model, not a curated record. Lineage: Eukaryota; Metazoa; Chordata; Amphibia; Anura; Bombinatoridae.